AGAUUGAACGCUGGCGGCAUGCCUUACACAUGCAAGUUGAACGGCAGCACGGGAGCAAUCCUGGUGGCGAGUGGCGAACGGGUGAGUAAUACAUCGGAACGUGCCCAGUAGUGGGGGAUAACCCGGCGAAAGCCGGGCUAAUACCGCAUACGACCUACGAGUGAAAGCGGGGGAUCGCAAGACCUUGCGCUAUCGGAGCGGCCGAUGUCAGAUUAGCUUGUUGGUGGGGUAAAAGCCUACCAAGGCGACGAUCUGUAGCUGGUCUGAGAGGACGACCAGCCACACUGGGACUGAGACACGGCCCAGACUCCUACGGGAGGCAGCAGUGGGGAAUUUUGGACAAUGGGCGCAAGCCUGAUCCAGCCAUGCCGCGUGCGGGAAGAAGGCCUUCGGUUGUAACCGCUUUGUCAGGAAGAAACGCUCCGGCCAAUACCCUGGAGUAAUGACGGUACCUGAAGAAUAAGCACCGACUAACUACGUGCCAGCAGCCGCGGUAAUCUA
This 501-nucleotide ribosomal RNA is filed under the name uncultured soil bacterium. RNAcentral describes it as "bacterial SSU rRNA". It matches the Rfam family "Bacterial small subunit ribosomal RNA", at positions 26 to 527 of the family's 1533-position model. The record is from RNAcentral.